UUGAAAUCCAUUGGAUGUUGCUGGCCCCCUUGGGGCAUGUGCACUCCGCCUUUUCAACCACCUGUGAACCUAUUGUAGGCCCAGAUGUUAAAAAGUCUGAGUCUAUGUUUUAUCACAAACCCUGAAAAAGUUUAUAGAAUGUUUUUUAGACCUUAUGGUCGAAAAAUUGUAAUA
RNAcentral lists this unclassified non-coding RNA (174 nucleotides) under uncultured Basidiomycota. RNAcentral describes it as "sequence contains ITS1". Lineage: Eukaryota; Fungi; Basidiomycota. The record is from RNAcentral.